GAAGGAGAGGAGACGCGUCUUACGAGCGGAGAUUUCUUCACAAAAUUGUUUUGUUUGAACAACAUACGCUGCUAAACUACCUCGGCUUUAUUAACUAUUACGUAAUUGAUAUGUUAUUUGUUGCAAGAAGUCUUAAGAUUAUACCUCAAUAUGUGUUUGUUUUUGUUUGUUUGUUUGUUUGUUUUUUACCUCAGAGAUCAGCGCGAUACUCUCACCAAGCAGGAAUGUUUAGAUGAUGCAUGCUCUGACACGAAGAAGCAUCCCAAAGAGCAGGUCACCCCAAAGACUGUCUCUCUUCACCAUAACAUCACACCAGGCACUUUGACAGUGAAGGAUCAAAGAACACAACACCAUUGGCCAUAGCUGCGUCCCCCGUUCAGCUCGCACUGGACCCUCAGAACGCGUGGCCUUUGUGUUGGACCAUAGAUGGACAGAUCUGAUGAGAACUGCCCAUGAUCAUCACUUGGUAACACACCAUGGGAGCAAGGAUCUUCUUAAACAGGUGGAUGGCUUGUUUUUUUUUUUUUCUUCUUCCUGUGUUCUCCACAACUUUAGAUUGUUUUAUUUUUACUAUUAUUGUAGUUGUUGUUGUUUAAUCUACCAUUUUAAAUUAAUUUAUUUCCAUUUGUUAAUUUAAAUACCAGAAGUAUUUUUGCACUGUACUUUAGUGUGUUUUUUAAAUUAAUUGUAUUGACUUGCAUUGUUAUUUUAUCUUGCUCAGUUUUGUAAACACUAAAUGUUAGUAACUGCUAUUAUUAAAUGCUGUAAAUAAUUAUUUAAUUUAAAAUACUCUACCAGCCAAAUGUUUUUCAGCAGUAAGAUUUUAAUGUUUUUUUUUAAAGAAGUCUCUUCUUAAUAAUAAUAAUAAUAAUAAUAAUCAGAAAUGUUUCUUGAGCAGCAAAUCAUCAUAUUAGAAUGAUUUCUGAAGAUCAUGUGACACUGAAGACUGGAGUAAUGAUGCUGAAAAUACAGCUGCACAUCACAGAAAUACAUUACAGUUUAAUAUAUAUUCACAUAGAAAACAGCUAUUUUAAAUAGUAAAAAUAUUUCACAAUAUUAUUGCUUUUACUGUAUUUUGGAUCAAAUAAAGGCAGGCUUGGUGAGCUUUAAAAUUCUUACUGUUCAAAAACAUUUAACUGGUAGUGUACAUUGUUUCUUGUUUGUUUUUUU
Long non-coding RNA from Cyprinus carpio carpio, 1170 nucleotides. The record is from Ensembl. NCBI's taxonomy places the organism in Eukaryota, Metazoa, Chordata, Actinopteri, Cypriniformes, Cyprinidae.